UUAACACGUAGUCAACCUGCCCUGGAGACAUGGACAUCCCCGGGAAACUGGGAUUAAUCCGUGAUAGGUCAUCUCAUCUGGAAGGAGAGAUGGCUUAAAGGGAUGCGCGGGCCUCUUCUGCGUAUUUGCUCCAGGAUGGGACUGCGUCCGAUCAGGGUGUUGGCGGGGUAAUGGCCCACCAAGCCAGUAACCGGUACGGGCCUUGAGAGAGGUGGCCCGGAGAUGGACACUGAGAGAAGGGUCCAGGUCCUACGGGGCGCAGCAGGCGCGAAACCUUCGCAAUGCGCGCAAGCGUGACGAGGUUAAUCCGAGUGAUUUCCGCUGAGGAGACCUUUUGUCUGCUGUAAAUAGGCAGGCGAAUAAGGGGAGGGCAAGCCUGGUGUCAGCCGCCGCGGUAAUACCAGCUCCUCGAGUGGUCGGGGCGAUUAUUGGGCCUAAAGCAUCCGUAGCCGGUUCCGUAGGUCCUCUGUUAAAUCCAACCGCCCCAACGGUUGACCUGCAAAGGAUACCGCGAAGACU
RNAcentral lists this ribosomal RNA (519 nucleotides) under uncultured archaeon. RNAcentral describes it as "bacterial SSU rRNA". It matches the Rfam family "Archaeal small subunit ribosomal RNA", at positions 93 to 593 of the family's 1478-position model. The record is from RNAcentral.